GAUGAACGCUGGCGGCGUGCCUAAUACAUGCAAGUCGAGCGAACAGACGAGGAGCUUGCUCCUCUGACGUUAGCGGCGGACGGGUGAGUAACACGUGGAUAACCUACCUAUAAGACUGGGAUAACUUCGGGAAACCGGAGCUAAUACCGGAUAAUAUAUUGAACCGCAUGGUUCAAUAGUGAAAGACGGUUUUGCUGUCACUUAUAGAUGGAUCCGCGCCGCAUUAGCUAGUUGGUAAGGUAACGGCUUACCAAGGCAACGAUGCGUAGCCGACCUGAGAGGGAGAGCGGCCACACUGGAACUGAGACACGGUCCAGACUACUACGGGAGGAAGCAGUAGGGAAUAUUCCGCAAUGGGCGAAAGCAUGACGGAGCAACGCCGCGUGAGUGAUGAAGGUCUUCGGAUCGUAAAACUCUGUUAUUAGGGAAGAACAAAUGUGUAAGUAACUAUGCACGUAUUGACGGUACCUAAUCAGAAAGCCACGGCUAACUACGUG
RNAcentral lists this ribosomal RNA (497 nucleotides) under uncultured bacterium. Its description in RNAcentral is "partial 16S ribosomal RNA". It matches the Rfam family "Bacterial small subunit ribosomal RNA", at positions 28 to 507 of the family's 1533-position model. The record is from RNAcentral.